GCCCAGUGAUAAUUUUAAACGGCCGCAGUACCCUGACUGUGCUAAGGUAGCAUAAUCACUUGCUUUUUAAUUGAAAGCUAGAAUGAAUGGCUUGACGAAAACAUAACUGUCUCUUUUACAUUAACUAAAAAUUAAUUUUCAGGUGAAGAAGCCUGAAUAUACUCAAAAGACGAAAAGACCCUAUCGAGCUUAAAAAUAUUUUUAAUCUAUUUUAUCUUAGCUAAAUAAAAAUUAAAAACAAUUUUUUGUUGGGGCGACAGAAGAACAAAUAAAGCUUCUUUUAAUUAAACAAAUUGAUAAAUUUUAAAGACCCAGCAAUACUGAUUAAAAGAAAAGUUACCGUAGGGAUAACAGCGUA
RNAcentral lists this ribosomal RNA (358 nucleotides) under Acanthochitona sp. GP0078. RNAcentral describes it as "partial 16S ribosomal RNA". It matches the Rfam family "Archaeal large subunit ribosomal RNA", at positions 1953 to 2553 of the family's 2987-position model. Lineage: Eukaryota; Metazoa; Mollusca; Polyplacophora; Chitonida; Acanthochitonidae. The record is from RNAcentral.